This 8637-nucleotide long non-coding RNA is filed under the name Hordeum vulgare. RNAcentral's name for it is "long non-coding RNA (HVUL_LNC002598)". The record is from RNAcentral. Lineage: Eukaryota; Viridiplantae; Streptophyta; Magnoliopsida; Poales; Poaceae.
AUAGAAGUGAAACCAAUUUGUCCCAUCCUUGUUUGCAUGUUGAGUAAGCUCCCUAUCUCUCUAGCACAUAAAAAAGGAAUGGAAUUUGAUCAAGAACUACCAUCAGUCUGCUGCAUGUUGCGUAACUCUCAUUUCUCUCUAGUGGAUCUUGAGCAUUGUUGUUUAGGACUUGGUCGCCACCGUGUCCAUGGAGCAGCACCCCGUCUCAAUGUCAUUGCGAUUCUUCAACCCACAUGGCCUUCUCCUCGUACCUCCUCUGCUGUCAAAUGUGGGCUUCAGGUCAUCCCGGAUGUGGAACGGGUCUUUCUUCUUCUUCUCCUUCUCAUCGGUUUUCAAACUUGACCAGCAAUCAAGCUAGGGCAUCAGUUCUCGUUGAUUAGCAGAAUAUUUAUAUUGCAAAAACAACUUAGUUUUUACGUCAGGUUGAUUCAGUUAACACUUUCGUCUCAGAAGUUGCUGCAUAGGAUUCCGAGCAGAUUCACCAAAGUGAUUCAGCACCUUUUGUGGUGGAAUAUCAUGAGUCCGAUCUUGAGGUUGUGAGUGCCCUCCAACUCCGUCCAUCAGGCGUCCGUGGACCGGUCCAUACGUCUGAAUUUCCAUAAACCAGCAGCAAACCUGGACCUGCGGGGCAGCUGUGAAGUGAGACAUACAAAAAUUAUCUUUGAAGCCCCUUGGUUUGUAGUCAUAGAAUCCUUUGUAGUAUUUCAUAGGAAAAAAACAUUAGCCUCGACUCAAUAAAAUAAUUUCCUAUCCUAUAAAUCACAUGACAUCUCUUUUUCUAUUGAUAUUACUACUCUAUGCAUCAAAUGAGACCUUAACAUUUUUACAUGUAAGUCUAGACUUUAGAGUUCAUAACUGUUAAUUAUCACUUGCCGCUUUAUGGUUGGUAAGACAUAAUAGGAGUACCAAAUAUCAGAGUAGCUCUGGCGAUGUGUUUAUGUUAUGUACAUGUAUGUUCUCGUGAUUAAGGCUGUGCUCGGCAACCUCUGCUCCUUAACUACGGAGCGGAGCAGCUUGUUAGCCGCUCGCCGAAAUAUAAGUGCGUGAAAUAUAAUUGCGUGCUGCUCCGCUCUAAGUUUAUGUUCUGAUUAUACCACUUAACACAUUUCUGUUCUGCUUCCUGUCGUAUAAUACAGGUAAAAUCGCGCAAGACGGCCACGGAUGAGACUCGUUCAUCCAAAGGUGAGGAUGUUGCCGCUGGUCGAGUUAGCGAACUGGCCCAGGAAUCACGACUUCCCUUUUACGCCGCCUACUGGGAUGGUACUGGUCACAUGAGAGCUAUCCAGGUGCAUUUCUAACGCUGGAAAAAGUGUUCCUCUUUUGAUUGUUCUAAAGAUGUGAACUGUACAUUUCAAACAAAUCCUUCUACACCCUCAUGUGCGUAAAGGCGACUCUAUUGGAGAAUUCUUGAGGGCUAAUCAUCAGCAGCUAGCUCCAGAGUUCCAUCAAGUACGGACAACAUCGGUUCAGAACCUACUCUAUAUCAGGAAGAUCUCGUUAUCCCUCAUGUACGUAAUGUUUGAGUUUGUUCCCUAAUAAGUUGCCCUUUUGUUUUUGCUGUAAUAAGUUUUAUUCUGUUCCCAUUUAAUGUUUGUUAUUUUGAUUUGACAGCAACACAGCUUGUACGAGUUAAUUAUUAAUAAAGCAAGGGGCAAGAGUGAACCGGUAAUGCUUGUUCCUUCACUACUACCGGCUGUUCCUAACAAUUGCUCUAAGAACCUGAGUGUUCACAUGCUAGAGGUGACAGCAACUUGUUGAAUCAUGUAACACAAUUUGAAAGGUAAUCAGCCAUAUUUUGACACCAUUCUCUCAGCACUUAAAUACGUCAUAAUUUUUGCCUACACAGUUUGCAAGAUACAGAUUUCAUGUCAUAAUCUACUGCUAGAUACUCCAAAAGCAAUGAACCAAGCCCGAAGCCGGUUCCGCCCAUUACUGAAAAUCAAGAAAUAUUGGAGACCGGUGCAGUUAUCUAGGGUUGGGCUUCCCUCUACCGUUUCCUUCGCAAAAGAAACAAACACGAACUAUAAUGAGGAUACCUGAGUAUUUCCAUGAAAGCUUUUUGUCUAUAAAUGCAAACAAUCUUUAAUAUUAUUAUUUAAGCACCAAUUACUCAUUCCUUUGGUUCUAGUAGUCAGUUAUAAUCAGGUAACAGUAGGUUUAGUUUUUUUUGGUAAACCCAUUUCAACAAACAUUUAAAGCUGACACUACCAUUUAUCAUAAAGACCCCCAUGGACAUGACGGACUGAACCGAGUGAGAAAAACAAGUUAAGUAAACUGAAUGUAGGCCUUCAAUUAUCAAUGCUGCAUUUCUUUUAAUUCUCUCUAGAGACUGGUAGAGGCAUAGCCUUUCAAUAACAAUAAAUAGAAUAUGUUUAACAGUUAUUUACAAGCUCGUAUCGUUCUAGUGGCAUCCAAAUGGGAGAAAUCUUUAUGUUUUCAGCAAAGUACAACGCACUCAGACUCAUGCUAUCAUUCUGGAAUCUCAGUUUCGACUAUACAAGCCUAUUGUAAUGUACUCAGACUCAUGCUAUUGAUCCGGCUACUUUAUGUGCUAAGGACUUCCUUGUAUACUAUGUUCUUCAUGGUCGUUAAUAAGGGCUCAGACCUUUUUCGCUUCUUUGAAUUCUUGCUUUGUUCCUUGCCCUUGCCUUUACCCUUGCCGUCGUCCUUGAUGGCGAGAAUAUUAAUGUUCCUCUUCGCGGUGGCUCUAGACAAUGCAACGUAGAGCUGACCGUGAGAGAAAAUCGGGUCAGGUAGGUACACCCCAACAAUCGGUAUGGUCUGUCCUUGCGCCUUGUUGAUCGUCAUGGCAAAGCUGAGCCUAAUAGGGAACUGCUUCCUCUUGAACUUGAAAGGGAAGAUAUCAUCAUCGGAUGGACAUAGAGGUAUCCGAGGAAGGAACACCCUCCUACCAGCAUGUUGUCCUAGCACGAUUUCUGCGUCGAUGGCGUUCCUCUGGAAACCCCGGACCACAAGCCUUGUGCCGUUACAUAACCCAUUAGCUGGAUCUAUAUUUCUCAAUAGUAUAAUGGGGCAACUUAUCUUUAGUUUGAGGGCAUGCGGAGGCAGCCCGUUGGGAGUCAGGUUGUUGAGGAACUCAGGGGCAUAGUAGCCGUGUGGGUCAUCCUCUGCACUAUCAAAACUAUGGUAGAUCUUCUCUUCGCCCUGGAAGCGCUCUAUCAUGCGUGUGUUUAUCUUAUCAACGUUGUCGUUCUUGGUGGAGAGGAUCGCUCGAGAUGUCAUGUAAUUAGGAUCAGACAUGUUGUGGUCUAGAGCAGGAAAUACAUGGUCGAUUAGCUUCUCUAGGUCAACGCCGUCUCCCGUUGGCGGCACACAAAUGUCUUGAGGGAGACUGAUGUUGCCUUCGUCGUCGGUUUCUUCGGUGCCGUUGCCUACCCUUAGCAAGUAAUUUGCGAACCACGGGUCAUUAUGCGCCCUCAUGUUCGUGAUGAGCCUUAGCUGGCGCAUACCCUUCCAAAGGUACGAACUCCGCAGGGUCGCAUCGAUUAUCUGACCCCGUGACCCUUUCCUGACGACUGGAAGCACCUGCCUGAAGUCCCCACCGAACACGACAGCUUUCCCCCCGAACGGUUGGUGCCGUCGUCCCGUAAUGUCCCGCAUACUAUUAUCCAGUGCCUCAACAGCUUGCCGCUUCGUCAUGCUGGCCUCGUCCCAUAGGAUGAGGGAAGCCAUGCGCAGGAGCUUGGCCGUCCCACUUUGCUUGGUGAAGCUGCACGACGCCCCAUCUUCAAUGCUGAGUGGGAUCUUGAACCUCGAGUGGGAUGUCUUGCCUCCAGGCAUGAUGGAAGCCGCGACGCCAGACGUCGUCGUCGCCACCGCUAUCUUGCCCUCCCCCCGAACCUUUGCGAGUAGUGCCCUGUAUAGGAAGGUCUUCCCAGUGCCUCCCGGGCCAUCGACAAAGAAUACACCCCCAUCACCGGCAUCUACUGCUGCCAGGAUCUCGUCGUAUGCAAGCCUUUGAUCAUGGUUUAGCGAGGACGCUAAAGCAGCGUCGUGUGCGUCAACCUCGAUGGUGGACUCCUCUGUGACUUCUCUGGCCUCGCCUCCGGUAGUGUCAUAGGUCUCGUCGAUGUCCGGAAGAGGGAACAACGCUAUGUCUUUGCCCAUUGACUGUAGCAUGCCCCUGAUGUCUAGCAACACCAUCUGCUCCACUGCCUUUGAGCAAGUGUGUGAUCGGCGGUAGUCAUCAGACAUCGCCUCUAGGUGCCUAUCCCAUAGACCGCGCACGUCACCUGGCUUGCAGAAUACCAAGAUUGUUGCAAAGAGCCUCCUGAGCGAGGCUGGCAUCGCGAAUUGUGUUGACUCUGUAAGAGACUCGUCAAGCGUGUUGUCGGCCUCGAUGAGGCCCAAUCUCUUGGCAGCCUCACGAAAGCUAUCACAUAGCACACUGUCCACGGUCCUCAAGUCCUCGAAGGAUGUCUUGCCUGGUACGUGGUUGAGCAGCACUCGUAGAAAGUACCGCUCCCCUCCGCUGGAUGUGCUGACACGAUUCGACCUACUUGGUGUUGCUUUUGCCUCGGCCUCCAGUACUUUGUUCUCUGCCAUGUGAAACUUCCCGAAAAAUCCUUGUACAGGAUGUCUCGAGCCCAAACAUGCUGCUGAUUAGCGAGGAAAUACUCCGUCAGCAUUGACUUAGAUGCUUUAUCACGGGCGACAACAUCGGUCAGGUCCUCUCCUGCUUUGAAUGUGACACUAUGCAUAUCUGGGAGAUGAAGCGGCAACUGUAGGACCGACGGGAAACUCUCGAAAAGAUUGAAGCCGAAUACCCUCCACAUCGCCUCCGGUGGAGUAACCCAUCUCGCAUCGAUGUACCUUUUAAUCUCGUCUACAACCCCUUUCUCGUCAGGCUGGUCGAUGCUGAUUGAAGCUCGAUCGUGGCCCUUGUAUACGUAUUUGUAGAGGUACUUGAUGGCCUUGAUGCUGGAGCACACCUCGACAUUUAUGUGGCAGUUGAACAUCCGCAACAGAUAAGGGUUGUAAGGCACCACCCAUCUGUUAUCCAGCAUCUGACGGCGGACCUUAGCCUGACGACCAUCGUCCCGCCGUCGAUAGACAGGGUACGAAUCCUUCCCCUGUAAGGUGUUCUGGUUGAAUGGUCGUGGGUACUGGCUCUUGCACUUCAAGUCUUGCAUACACACAUUUUUGGGAUUUAGAUUACCGCAUGGGCCGUGCAUCAUAUGCUUGACGACCAUGGCAUAGAGGUCAGGAUACUUAUGCUUGUCCGGGAGCUCUGCGGAUAUGAUGCGGUCAUACUGCUCUGGCACCACAAGUUUAUAUUCUCUAUUCAUGAUCAACAGGAAGUGCGCGUGGGGGAGGCCCCUCUUCUGGAACUCCACGACAUACACAUACGCGACCACAACACCCAGGAUGUGCUUCUUGAACAACAUCUCUUUCAUGGUCUCCAACUUGGCCCUAAACACUCGUGCGACAAGAUAUGGUCGGUCCUGGGGUGUCUGGCCAGGAAGCAGGUCAUUCAGUAUCUCCUCCCAGCUAGGAUUGCACGUCAUAGUCAAAAAGAUGUCAGGCUUCCCAUAGGUUUGCACCAGUGCCAUAGCGUCCAUAUGCCUCCCCUUCAUGUCUUGGUUGCUCCCCUGAUGCGUCCCUGGGAGCAAGAUCCUCUUGCCAACAGCACUCGCUCGCACCUCCCCAGCCGCGAUGCUAUCCACAAGGCCUUGAUAUAGGUCGGCACGUAUCUGUGUUUGGUGGUCCCUGAUCCACUUGAGCCUACAACCCUCAAUCUUGAUGAACAUGUCCACACCGCACUGCUGGAACAGGCGUGCUCCGUGAAGUAUGGGGUUGAAUAUCGUAGGGCGUGUCUGUAGCCGGUAACAGUAGUAGUCCCUGACAGAGACACACAACCGGGUGUUCCCCUCUGUGCAAAGACGUGAAAGAAGGUUAGGUACCAUAUGGGAAGGAUAAACAAUGUUUCUAUUUUUUGCAUAUAAGCAUACCAAACGGGUGAACCUGAAUCGUUAUCGUGGUUCCGUCUUGGUUGUUGUGCAAGCUCCCAAGGGACAUUGCGCUUCGGGAUAUUUGGAUGCCAACCAAGCUCCCCCCUUGGGAAAAAGAGGGGAUACGAGAGCGGGUAAUAGCAGCCAUCUGUGGCAUGUAUACUAUGCCUCUCGUUGUUAUCCCCAUAGAGUGUAAUGUUGCGGUUGAACCUGUUUGCUAGAUCGUUUCCCUCGACCCAAAUUGCAGCCACCUCGGAUGACACAGGUCUGUUAUAUCUCCGUUGAUCUAGCUUCUGGUCAGUGUUGAGGUCUAUCCGGUACUCCUCGAGGUUUUCCUUGUGGGCACCCAAACUUCUAAACUAUUGGGAGUAGGGGUUGCCCCUGAGGAUGCCCACUAACUUGCUGACAACGCGUUGGUCCAAUUUCUUGGUAGCCUCCUUGCGAUGGCUUAAGUUGGGGUCGUCGUCAUAGAAGUAUAGCUGCAGAUGUCCAGGAUGAGCUGUUGGUCCGAACGAAUGCACUUUGUGGUAAAUAGUGCCCUGCGCCCGAAACGUGUAUACCCCAGAUUUCAUGUUCGUAUAGUUGUUGUCUAGGCUGACGCCAAGGGUAGUGAAGGAGAAGUGGUCGUUGAAGAACCGAAUGCUCUCCCGGAAGUGCCGAGAGUCUGCAUCUGCGCUAGACCAUAACCUCAUCAGCUCUGGAAUAGGCUCUGGUUCGGCCAACUGUAUUUCCCCAUUUCGACAGCAGAAGCCAUCCGUCUCGUACUGGAACUUCUUGGCUUUGCAAUGGUCGCAGUUCGCCGCGUGCUUCAGGAUGUGCGUGCUGUCUGGGAUGUUCGAGUAGACAUAGUCAAAAGGAUCAAGGUCGAUAUGUCCCGUUUUGGAGGAGUCCAUGGGCUGAUCGAUGUCCGUGCCAUCAGCGUCGUAUCCUGCAAGCAUCGUUGAGACAUAACAUGUCAUGAUAGGAUUUACAUCAUAAAUGAAUAGUAUACAGGGACGAGAAGCGAAAGGCGCUUCAGAGUACCUUCACCGGCAAACAGGUAGUACUCAUCAUCCAUGAGGCCAUCGGGGAGUGCAUUAUCGUCCAUUAUGCCGCAGAGGAAGGCUUCCAUAUCAGCUGCAACAUUGUUGAGCCGGUAAGACGGUGUGCUUGAUGAAGGGGGAGGAAGGUUUAGUGUGACUGGUGACAUGGUGGAGAGUAAAGAUGAGAGGGUUACCAUCGGUCCCUAUGGUGUAAGACGGCGUGCUUGAUGAAGGGGGGGAAGCCAGUGAAGCAGGUCCUGUGGGUGGUGAAGAUGAGCUUGUUGCUGAUUUGUUCACAUCUAAGCUACUUGCCGCUUGGUGGGGAGUCCUCCGUUUAGCUUGAAAGCUUGCAUUACGACGAUCUAGCAAUGCUGACUUCUUACCUUCUUGCGACGCAUUUAUGUGCUCUUCCUGUUUAUCACCGUCGCCCAAGGUACGACUAAGGUACUCGCCUGCACCGUUAGUGAGCCAGUAACUACUCGUUGAACACACAUGGACAUAUGAAGUAUUGUAAAGAUAGGGGGAUUACCGUAUGAUUCCAAUCCGUGACCAGCCUUAUUUGCUGAGCGAGGGGCUUGUGAUGAAGCGGCGGGUUCUCGGACUGCCAACGCAUGAGUGGUCGACAUCAGGUUGGGGGCAGCUAAGGUAGAUGCAUCUGGUCGCGGCAUUGCUAUGGAUUCAAUGCAAGGGGUGUUGCGCAUAGCCACGAGUUUUGCGUUUCUGUGAGCUCUCAUAUUCUGCUUCUCUUCGGGUGACAUGUUCUGCACACGUGCUCUUCGACGGGAGUUUGUCUCUUGCUUAUCGACGUCGGUCAUAUUUUGGUAGGCAACCCUUCUACCACUAUUCAUAUCUUGCCUGUCCUGGACUGACAUAUUUUGGUAGGCUGCCCUUCUAAGGGUGCUGCUCUGUUCCUUCUCCUCUGAUCUCAUAUGUUGCCUGGAUUCUCUUUGACAGGAAUUCCUCUCCUCAUCUGUCUUCGUUUUCCUAACUGCUCUGCGACGUGCAUUGAUUUCCUCCUUCUGUUCAGGUGUUAACCUAUUUCGCCGUGCUAUAUAUUGGUCUCGCCUUUUCUGUUUUUUGUCCGAUGCAAUGACUGCGCUUGAAGCUAGUUGUUGAGGACCAGUCUGUGAGGUGUUGAGGCUCGGUACUAUAUAUGAAACAAUAUCAUGCUCAGCGCUGCUGGGUAUUCCUCCAAGUGAUGCACGAUGAUCAUUGCAGGCCUCUUCACGGGAAUGAUUUCCUGAAGAACCAUUUUAUGGAGCACUUUGGUUAUGGAUUGGAUAAAUGCUAACGGAAAAUAUGUUAGUGGUCAAGGGCGAUACCACUUGAUUUUUCGACAUGCUGCACUGGCCGAAAGGCCGUGAGAUUGCCGGCUAUGGGAACCAUCAUACGGAGUUGAGUGGACAGAUUGUCAUCAUCGUCGGAAGACGAAACACUGUUGUUAGUAGUGUCUGUUUGGUCACGUAUGAAAAAACCAGACAGUGGCCGGUGGGUAAUGGUGGUUGUCUCCUUGGUGUCCUCUCAUAUUCAACAACUGAUAAGAAUUAAUUUAAGAUAAGUUGUGAAAGUUUAAUGUAUACCUUAUAUGCAGACAUGUGAUUGGCAUCGACAUACCUCUUUUUCCUUUAUCGUACACAUUCCCG